Molecule: ribosomal RNA, 497 nt
Filed under: uncultured bacterium
Lineage: Bacteria
Description: partial 16S ribosomal RNA
Rfam family: Bacterial small subunit ribosomal RNA
Source: RNAcentral
GAUGAACGCUGGCGGCGUGCCUAAUACAUGCAAGUCGAGCGAACAGACGAGGAGCUUGCUCCUCUGACGUUAGCGGCGGACGGGUGAGUAACACGUGGAUAACCUACCUAUAAGACUGGGAUAACUUCGGGAAACCGGAGCUAAUACCGGAUAAUAUAUUGAGCCGCACGGUUCAAUAGUGAAAGACGGUUUUGCUGUCACUUAUAGAUGGAUCCGCGCCGCAUUAGCUAGUUGGUAAGGUAACGGCUUACCAAGGCAACGAUGCGUAGCCGACCUGAGAGGGUGAUCGGCCACACUGGAACUGAGACACGGUCCAGACUCCUACGGGAGGCAGCAGUAGGGAAUCUUCCGCAAUGGGCGAAAGCCUGACGGAGCAACGCCGCGUGAGUGAUGAAGGUCUUCGGAUCGUAAAACUCUGUUAUUAGGGAAGAACAAAUGUGUAAGUAACUAUGCACGUCUUGACGGUACCUAAUCAGAAAGCCACGGCUAACUACGUG